This 403-nucleotide ribosomal RNA is filed under the name bacterium. RNAcentral's name for it is "partial 16S ribosomal RNA". It matches the Rfam family "Bacterial small subunit ribosomal RNA", at positions 355 to 776 of the family's 1533-position model. The record is from RNAcentral.
UGGGGAAUAUUGCACAAUGGGGGAAACCCUGAUGCAGCGACGCCGCGUGAACGAAGAAGGUAUUCGUAUCGUAAAGUUCUGUCCUAUGGGAAGAUAAUGACAGUACCAUAGAAGAAAGCUCAGGCUAAAUACGUGCCAGCAGCCGCGGUAAUACGUAUGGAGCGAGCGUUGUCCGGAAUUAUUGGGCGUAAAGGGUACGCAGGCGGUUUAAUAAGUCGAAUGUUAAAGAUCGGGGCUCAACCCCGCAAAGCAUUGGAAACUGAUAAACUUGAGUAGUGGAGAGGAAAGUGGAAUUCCUAGUGUAGUGGUGAAAUACGUAGAUAUUAGGAGGAAUACCAGUAGCGAAGGCGACUUUCUGGACACAAACUGACGCUGAGGUACGAAAGCGUGGGGAGCAAACAGG